RNAcentral lists this ribosomal RNA (250 nucleotides) under uncultured bacterium. RNAcentral describes it as "partial 16S ribosomal RNA". It matches the Rfam family "Bacterial small subunit ribosomal RNA", at positions 524 to 776 of the family's 1533-position model. The record is from RNAcentral.
UACGUAGGGUGCAAGCGUUAAUCGGAAUACUGGGCGUAAAGCGUGCGCAGGCGGUGAUGUAAGACAGAUGUGAAAUCCCCGGGCUCAACCUGGGAACUGCAUUUGUGACUGCACAGCUUGAGUGCGGCAGAGGGGGAUGGAAUCCGCGUGUAGCAGUGAAAUGCGUAGAUAUGCGGAGGAACACCGAUGGCGAAGGCAAUCCCCUGGGCCUGCACUGACGCUCAUGCACGAAAGCGUGGGAGCAAACAGG